This 253-nucleotide ribosomal RNA is filed under the name uncultured bacterium. RNAcentral describes it as "partial 16S ribosomal RNA". It matches the Rfam family "Bacterial small subunit ribosomal RNA", at positions 524 to 776 of the family's 1533-position model. The record is from RNAcentral.
UACGGAGGGGGCAAGCGUUAUUCGGAAUCAUUGGGCGUAAAGGGCGCGUAGGCGGCUUGGCAAGUCAAAGGUGAAAUCCCUCGGCCUAACCGAGGAACUGCCUUUGAAACUGCUUGGCUUGAGUACGGGAGAGGGGUGUGGAAUUCCCAGUGUAGAAGUGAAAUCCGUAGAUAUUAGGAGGAACACCGGUGGCGAAGGCGGCUACCUGGACCGAUAUUGACGCUGAGACGCGAAAGCGUGGGGAGCAAACAGG